GAUGAACGCUGGCGGCGUGCCUAAUACAUGCAAGUCGAGCGAACAGACGAGGAGCUUGCUCCUCUGACGUUAGCGGCGGACGGGUGAGUAACACGUGGAUAACCGACCUAUAAGACUGGGAUAACUUCGGGAAAGCGGAGCUAAUACCGGAUAAUAUAUUGAACCGCAUGGUUCAAUAGUGAAAGACGGUUUUGCUGUCACUUAUAGAUGGAUCCGCGCCGCAUUAGCUAGUUGGUAAGGUAACGGCUUACCAAGGCAACGAUGCGUAGCCGACCUGAGAGGGUGAUCAGCCACACUGGAACUGAGACACGGUCCAGACUCCUACGGGAGGCAGCAGUAGGGAAUCUUCCGCAAUGGGCGAAAGCCUGACGGAGCAACGCCGCGUGAGUGAUGAAGGUCUUCGGAUCGUAAAACUCUGUUAUUAGGGAAGAACAAAUGUGUAAGUAACUAUGCACGUCUUGACGGUACCUAAUCAGAAAGCCACGGCUAACUACGUG
This 497-nucleotide ribosomal RNA is filed under the name uncultured bacterium. Its description in RNAcentral is "partial 16S ribosomal RNA". It matches the Rfam family "Bacterial small subunit ribosomal RNA", at positions 28 to 507 of the family's 1533-position model. The record is from RNAcentral.